Molecule: long non-coding RNA, 1052 nt
Filed under: Cyanistes caeruleus (blue tit)
Lineage: Eukaryota; Metazoa; Chordata; Aves; Passeriformes; Paridae
Description: lncRNA (ENSCCEG00000006025.1)
Source: RNAcentral
CUUGACCUCUCCCAGGUACAAAGGUGCUUCAGCUCUUAUGGAGCUCUUAUUUGGUUUUGCCCCAAGGUUUUAUAAGCAGGUUGGCAAUUUGGCUCUCCUGUCUUUAAGGCAGAAUCUUUCAGGGCAGGAGCUGCAGCCACAGCUUGCUUCACACCAGUCCAAUGAGGAACCAUCUUUGAGUGGAUUUUGACAUGUGGCACAGCCAUGCUCAGGGCUCAGAAGCCUGGACAGCUGUUAGAUUUUGCUGUGAAGCCAUCAAACUCUCCUUUCUUCUCAGCGUUAUGAAAUUCCAAGCCGCUAACGUUUUACGUCAUCGAUGCACAAAACAAAAAGCAAAAAAGCACUGCUCUAUUUCUAAGCAGCAGACAGAAAAAAUUUGAACUGAGCUUUUUUAAAACAUGGAAAAUAACCUUGUAAUACCUUGAGUUCUUAAAAAACUUGUGGAGGGCAAUAUCCCACUCUAUACUGAUGCUCUGAUCUUCACAGGGUGUUGGCAUGGGCACAAGCACAGGCCAUGCUGGAGGAGACUCGUGAUGGGGGAGGAUUUUAGGCUUCUGUGCAACCUGCUGUGUCUGUGCUCUGUGCAUUUUGAGUGGAUGAGAUGGAUCCUUUGUUCUGUGGCUGAAGAGAUCCCAGGAAAUCUUGAGUUUCAGGAUGGAGUUUUGGAUCUGCUCUGCUCAGCUGGACUGGGAUUUCAUCCAUGCACUCACUCUCCCCGGGGUGUUCAAUUUUUGCAACCUCUCUGUGCUCAGAUUGAAUCUAUCUAGAAAAAUCAAAAGGACCCAUGCAACCCCAAACUACUUAUGAUUGCACUUGUUCUUGCUAUUUUUGAUGUCCUUUGACAGCAAACACUUAUUUCUGUUCAUUGCACCACAUUUACCCCCAAGGAAGCUUUUGCUCAGAACAAUCUGUGUGAGGUUUGGGAGAGCUGUGCACCCAAAACUUCCCUAAAGUUCCACGAAAUAUAUUACAUGUGGAGCACAAAGAUCAUUUCACAAUUCCUUGCUAGCUUUUCUAAUAAAUUGUCUCACAUCCAUUGCUCUUGAGUGUUU